This is a long non-coding RNA of Dalotia coriaria, 605 nucleotides long. RefSeq lists it as uncharacterized. The transcript is spliced from 2 exons. NCBI's taxonomy places the organism in Eukaryota, Metazoa, Arthropoda, Insecta, Coleoptera, Staphylinidae. The record is from RefSeq and is a predicted model, not a curated record.
UUUGCAAAGAUUAGUACGUUUUGAAAUGCGUCAAAACUUUUAAUAAAUUAUAUAAAUUUUGUUGUUAAAACAUUUAUUAUACAAUUACUUCAGAAACUGCCACAAAAUGAAGGUCUUUAUCUUAGUAUUAGUGACCUUAUCGGCUAAUUUAGUGUCAUUGGCAAACGCACGUGAAGACUCUGAAAUAACUGACUUGCGAUCGAUUGAACCAAUUCAUUCUGAGUGUCAGGAUGCUCUCAAAUCUAAAUUGAUACCACUCUUGGACUCUGUUUUAGCAGUUUUGCCUGCAUUAGGACGUCUCAACGAUGCUCUUGGGGAUGCUGCCUUUAAACAAAUUUUAAAUUAUAUCAUGACUCACACGCAAUCGAAUAUUGUGACACAGUAUUUGGCUGUUGUUGGAUAUACCAUAGUCGGUAAAAAAGAACCCACGCUGGAUUAUUAUAAAGAUUUUAUUUCGGAUUUAGUGAGCAUAACUAUAGAUCAAGUAUGCUAUCUUAUCAUUGAAAAUCCUUCAAAUUUGUUGCCGUCACCAGUAUCAUAAAUUGUUUUAACAUAAAAUGUGAUGUAGUUCGCCAUCUGUUAAUAAAAUUUUGAGUUGUGUAGUA